AUGGUGGUUCCAGGUUCCCCAACAGGUGCUCUAGAUUACUUACACACCAGUGAUUCCAUCUCUUUUCUAUUCCCUGUGGAUGGUUUUCCCCUCCCUCUCUCAGAUUUGCUUUUAACAGGCAACUGCCUGCCUGUCCAACUGUCUUUUCCGUUGAAAUCUGGCCUGCAGUUGCCUCUGAGCAAUUAUGCAAACAGUAGGAUGAAGCACAGACGCGGGAUCGUGGCUCACAUUACAUGUGUUGCAGCUGGUCUGCCUUUGGAAAGCUUACUCUAUUAAAGGCAGCUGUUCAUGAUUUCUGAAAGCUGGAGGUUCAGACAAGUGCUGUGUAAGAGCUAUGUAUUGCUCUUACACUUCUGAAGUGCUUAGUUAAUUGUAUGAUGGAUAAGCUUUUAUUGCACAGUAUGCUAAAUGGAUGUAAAAUAUGUUUGCAUAGGCAACUAAAUAUCUGAAUUAGCAUUGGUUAUUUGUUCAUAGGAAUUGUGUAUUGCAUUUGAGUGCUUAGACUCUAGGUUAUGUUCAUCCUGAUUUUGUGCAGGACCUAUUUGGAAGCAAGGGCAAGUCUUGCUUUUAAAAUACUUGUCUUUUAAAAAAAGACAGUCUUGCUGUGCAGCAGAUUCCUGUAUGCUGUUCAAUUACAGCAUGUGGAAUUGGGGGGCAGAGGCAAAACUUCUUUGGAGAGGACAGGGCAUUUUAAGUAUCACUAUACUCGAAGUAACAGAAGAUAUGAUAUAUAUCCGUGAGCAUUGCAAGGUGACAGAAACCAUCCUAAAUAAGGUAGCUCUUCUGUUUUCUGAAAAUCUGUAACACAUAUCCACUUACCGUAUAGGAAAAACUUUGGUAUUUCUCUUGACUUACUGGCCUUAGGAUUUGAUGCACAACCUUAUACUGCAGUGACAAGGUAUUUUGAAAUAGAAAAAAAUGCUGUGACAUGGACCUGAUAAAAAUCAUCCAUGGCAGGACCCCACCAGUUGUUCUGUAUAAAACUUCCAUCUUUUUCACACUUGAAUCUCAGCAGUCUUGUGAAUUACUCUGAUCCCACCCCCUCCAGCACACCUCUUCAAUUGAGAACAUCUAAUCUUGCUUCAAGCAAACCAGCUUCAUGGGUUGAAAAGUCCAAAGUACAAUUGAAUCUCCAGCUGAGUGUUGAAUUUAUGGCAUGCGUUUUCAGAGCCACAAGCAGCCCUUGGCUGCACUAGCUCUGCUUUGGCCCUAAG
RNAcentral lists this long non-coding RNA (1214 nucleotides) under Anas platyrhynchos platyrhynchos (common mallard). RNAcentral's name for it is "lncRNA (ENSAPLG00000019836.1)". The record is from RNAcentral. Lineage: Eukaryota; Metazoa; Chordata; Aves; Anseriformes; Anatidae.